ACAAACUGUUCCUUUUUAUUCCGCAUACUGUUUAGCUGGUAUACCAAGCGGUGAAUAUGUUGUUGCAUGUUAGCUAUGGUCUUCUCAGCCUCUGUUGCCAAAUUUUCGACAGCGACAUUCUGUUGCUUCUGAUAUCCAAGCUCUUCCCUCAGAGAAAUAAUCUCGGCAUCACGUAAUUGGGCUCUUUCUAAUGCGCUUUUCUUCCUUGCCUAUUCCUUGCCCUUUGCAUUCUCCAGUCUCGAACGAAUACUAGAAAGCUCCUCGCCAUGGCUACUGAACGUUGCCUGCAAUCUUGCCACCUCGCGGUAAUGCAAAUCCUCCAGACGCUCGAUCGUUGCUAGGUAUUCGGUGAUAUCAUGUUUGUCCAUUGACAGAUCAGUGUCAUAAUGGGGGCGGAUUGAAGACACUGACGCCGACCGUCGCAAUGAUCGUGCCCCAUUUAGGGGACUGGAGGGAUAAUGCUGGCACGCUUGAUUCGUCUUGACAACCAAGUUUGAAGAUAGUGCAGGCAGGCUAAAUAGUUUGAGUAUUGGUGGAAUUUGUUUAGCCAG
This 551-nucleotide small RNA is filed under the name Histoplasma ohiense. RNAcentral describes it as "hypothetical lncRNA". Lineage: Eukaryota; Fungi; Ascomycota; Eurotiomycetes; Onygenales; Ajellomycetaceae. The record is from RNAcentral.